RNAcentral lists this ribosomal RNA (266 nucleotides) under uncultured bacterium. RNAcentral describes it as "partial 16S ribosomal RNA". It matches the Rfam family "Bacterial small subunit ribosomal RNA", at positions 49 to 340 of the family's 1533-position model. The record is from RNAcentral.
UAAUGCAUGCAAGUCGCACGGAGCUUCGGCUCAGUGGCGGACGGGUGAGUAACACGUAGGAACCUGCCCAGAAGUGGGGGAUAACUCCUCGAAAGAGGGGCUAAUACCGCAUACAGUCUACGGACCAAAGCAGCAAUGCGCUACUGGAGGGGGCCCUGCGGUGGAUUUAGCUAGUUGGUGGGGUAAUGGCCUACCAAGGCGACGAUCCAUAGCUGGUCUGAGAGGACGGCCAGCCACACUGGGACUGAGACACGGCCCAGACUCCG